Molecule: ribosomal RNA, 594 nt
Filed under: Fusarium equiseti
Lineage: Eukaryota; Fungi; Ascomycota; Sordariomycetes; Hypocreales; Nectriaceae
Description: eukaryotic LSU rRNA
Rfam family: 5.8S ribosomal RNA (bases 144-297)
Source: RNAcentral
CGACGCAACUCCCAACCCCUGUGACAUACCUAUACGUUGCCUCGGCGGAUCAGCCCGCGCCCCGUAAAACGGGACGGCCCGCCCGAGGACCCCUAAACUCUGUUUUUAGUGGAACUUCUGAGUAAAACAAACAAAUAAAUCAAAACUUUCAACAACGGAUCUCUUGGUUCUGGCAUCGAUGAAGAACGCAGCAAAAUGCGAUAAGUAAUGUGAAUUGCAGAAUUCAGUGAAUCAUCGAAUCUUUGAACGCACAUUGCGCCCGCCAGUAUUCUGGCGGGCAUGCCUGUUCGAGCGUCAUUUCAACCCUCAAGCUCAGCUUGGUGUUGGGACUCGCGGUAACCCGCGUUCCCCAAAUCGAUUGGCGGUCACGUCGAGCUUCCAUAGCGUAGUAAUCAUACACCUCGUUACUGGUAAUCGUCGCGGCCACGGUUUAAACCCCAACUUCUGAAUGUUGACCUCGGAUCAGGUAGGAUACCCGCUGAACUUAAGCAUAUCAUAGGGAAAGAAUCCCCUUGUUUUCUUUUCCGGCCUGGUGAUCGAUGGCGAACGGGAGAGCAGCCCAAAAAAAAACGGCAUCCUUUGAAUAGUGUUUUU